Non-coding RNA from Podarcis lilfordi (Lilford's wall lizard), 68 nucleotides. The record is from the annotation of a GenBank genome assembly. NCBI's taxonomy places the organism in Eukaryota, Metazoa, Chordata, Lepidosauria, Squamata, Lacertidae.
UGCAGGGUAGCUCAGUUGGUAGAGCAUGAGACUCUCAGGGUUGUGGGUUUGAGCCCUGCACUGGGCAA